RNAcentral lists this signal recognition particle RNA (299 nucleotides) under Saimiri boliviensis boliviensis (Bolivian squirrel monkey). RNAcentral describes it as "Metazoan signal recognition particle RNA (ENSSBOG00000007531.1)". It matches the Rfam family "Metazoan signal recognition particle RNA". From Rfam's summary of the family: The signal recognition particle (SRP) is a universally conserved ribonucleoprotein. It is involved in the co-translational targeting of proteins to membranes. The record is from RNAcentral. Lineage: Eukaryota; Metazoa; Chordata; Mammalia; Primates; Cebidae.
GCCGGGCACCGUGGAGCAUGCCUAUAGUCCCAGCUACUCCCGAGGCUGAGAUGGGAGGAUUGCUUGAGCCCAGGAGUUCUGGGCUGUAGUACACUAUGCUGAUUGGGUGUCUGCACUAAGUUUGGCAUCAAUAUGGUGACCUGCCGGGAGUGGGGGACCACCAGGUUGCCUAAGGAGGGGUGAACCGGCCCAGGACGGAAACAGAACAGGUCAAAACUCCCGUGCUGAUCAGUAAUGGGAUUGUACCUGUGAAUAGCCACUGCACUCCAGCCUGGGCAACGUAGCAAGACACUGUCUCU